CGGGGUGUAGCGCAGCUUGGUAGCGUACCAGACUGGGGGUCUGAUGGUCGCAGGUUCGAAUCCUGUCACUCCGACCA
Molecule: transfer RNA, 77 nt
Filed under: Bacillota bacterium
Lineage: Bacteria; Bacillati; Bacillota
Description: tRNA-Pro
Rfam family: tRNA
About the family: Transfer RNA (tRNA) molecules are approximately 80 nucleotides in length. Their secondary structure includes four short double-helical elements and three loops (D, anti-codon, and T loops). Further hydrogen bonds mediate the characteristic L-shaped molecular structure. tRNAs have two regions of fundamental functional importance: the anti-codon, which is responsible for specific mRNA codon recognition, and the 3' end, to which the tRNAs corresponding amino acid is attached (by aminoacyl-tRNA synthetases). tRNAs cope with the degeneracy of the genetic code in two manners: having more than one tRNA (with a specific anti-codon) for a particular amino acid; and 'wobble' base-pairing, i.e. permitting non-standard base-pairing at the 3rd anti-codon position.
Source: RNAcentral